RNAcentral lists this ribosomal RNA (465 nucleotides) under Vreelandella stevensii. Its description in RNAcentral is "partial 16S ribosomal RNA". It matches the Rfam family "Bacterial small subunit ribosomal RNA", at positions 338 to 795 of the family's 1533-position model. Lineage: Bacteria; Pseudomonadati; Pseudomonadota; Gammaproteobacteria; Oceanospirillales; Halomonadaceae. The record is from RNAcentral.
CCUACGGGAGGCUGCAGUGGGGAAUAUUGGACAAUGGGGGCAACCCUGAUCCAGCCAUGCCGCGUGUGUGAAGAAGGCCCUCGGGUUGUAAAGCACUUUCAGUGAGGAAGAACGCCUGGUGGUUAAUACCCAUCAGGAAAGACAUCACUCACAGAAGAAGCACCGGCUAACUCCGUGCCAGCAGCCGCGGUAAUACGGAGGGUGCGAGCGUUAAUCGGAAUUACUGGGCGUAAAGCGCGCGUAGGUGGCUUGAUAAGCCGGUUGUGAAAGCCCUGGGCUCAACCUGGGAACGGCAUCCGGAACUGUCAAGCUAGAGGGCAGGAGAGGAAGGUAGAAUUCCCGGUGUAGCGGUGAAAUGCGUAGAGAUCGGGAGGAAUACCAGUGGCGAAGGCGGCCUUCUGGACUGACACUGACACUGAGGUGCGAAAGCGUGGGUAGCAAACAGGAUUAGAUACCCCGGUAGUC